Molecule: ribosomal RNA, 472 nt
Filed under: Serratia marcescens
Lineage: Bacteria; Pseudomonadati; Pseudomonadota; Gammaproteobacteria; Enterobacterales; Yersiniaceae
Description: bacterial SSU rRNA
Rfam family: Bacterial small subunit ribosomal RNA
Source: RNAcentral
AGAGUUUGAUCCUGGCUCAGAUUGAACGCUGGCGGCAGGCUUAACACAUGCAAGUCGAGCGGUAGCACAGGGGAGCUUGCUCCCCGGGUGACGAGCGGCGGACGGGUGAGUAAUGUCUGGGAAACUGCCUGAUGGAGGGGGAUAACUACUGGAAACGGUAGCUAAUACCGCAUAACGUCGCAAGACCAAAGAGGGGGACCUUCGGGCCUCUUGCCAUCAGAUGUGCCCAGAUGGGAUUAGCUAGUAGGUGGGGUAAUGGCUCACCUAGGCGACGAUCCCUAGCUGGUCUGAGAGGAUGACCAGCCACACUGGAACUGAGACACGGUCCAGACUCCUACGGGAGGCAGCAGUGGGGAAUAUUGCACAAUGGGCGCAAGCCUGAUGCAGCCAUGCCGCGUGUGUGAAGAAGGCCUUCGGGUUGUAAAGCACUUUCAGCGAGGAGGAAAGGUGGUGAACUUAAUACGUUCAUCAA